GCUGAGGCAGCCUGAAGUCACCGUCCACCUGGAGAGCUGGGUCAGAAGAUGGAGGCAGAGACAAAUAUCCCGUGUCUCUGUUUAGCCUUAUUUCAGAAGGGUGUGCGGCUUCUCUGGGACAGAAGAGAACCCAAAUUGAGCUCUACUGUUAACUAGCUGUGGGAUCCUGGAGGAGUCGUUUACCCUGAUUCUCAGCUUCCACGUCUGUUGAAGGGGAGAUACUCAUGAAGAGGACAGGAUGGCUAGCAUGCCGUUGUUCUGCUGAGUGAGUUAUUUCAGCCAUCUCAACAUCUAAUGCUGAUGUGAUGUGGACAUUCCUGGUAACUAGCAGAUAGCAGGCGCUCAACAAACAUGAGUUCUUCCCUCCCUCCCCUCUGUUCUCAACAAAGCAGCUAGCGCUGGAUGGUCAACCGCGUCCCUUUGUUCUUCCCCCUGCCCUUCAUUGCCAGGAUGAGAGUGAAGGGACAAAGCAGAAAGCACUUAGCCAAUACUAGAAUGUGGUCAGGACAUAGACCGUAUUUGGAUGUCGACAAUGGUGCUCUGUAUGAAGAUGUGGCUUGUGGCCCCAACUAUGCCAAGAGCAUACUUCCUUUCUCUAGCUGGGUAGCAAUCUCCCCUCUGUCCCAAGGAUGAAGUUUAAUCCUGAUGAGAUCUGAAGCUUCUUCCAGUUGUGGAAAUUAAUAAAAGAAACCUUAACUAAUUUGGAGUUGGGAAGGCCCAUAGGGGAGCUCUCAUGCCCUAUCACACACUGUCAUUUACACCAAAAAGGAGAAGACUGAUGCUUGCUUCUUGGACAGGAAGUAAAACUACUGAAGGAAGAUUUCUCUUCCCACCUGCAACAGCUCAGCCAAUGAGAAAAACCACAGCUCAGCCAAUGAACUGCUACUUUCCCCCAAUGAAUUUUCAUUUGAAACGGCCCCUCCCUACUCCCCCUUUUUCUCUAUAAAAGCAGCUCCCCUUCUUUCUUUUCCAGAUUUGACUAUGGUUUGCCAUAGCAUGUACAUCCCGAAUUGCAAUUCUUUUGGUUAUUCCUG
This 1034-nucleotide long non-coding RNA is filed under the name Equus caballus (horse). RNAcentral's name for it is "lncRNA (ENSECAG00000050959.1)". Lineage: Eukaryota; Metazoa; Chordata; Mammalia; Perissodactyla; Equidae. The record is from RNAcentral.